This 272-nucleotide unclassified non-coding RNA is filed under the name plant metagenome. Its description in RNAcentral is "partial contains small subunit ribosomal RNA, internal transcribed spacer 1, and 5.8S ribosomal RNA". The record is from RNAcentral.
UUUCCGUAGGUGAACCUGCGGAAGGAUCAUUAAUGAGUUGUCAUGGGGUCCGAUGCUGGCAGCCAGUUUUUGGAUGCAUGUGCUUGCCCUAACAAUCAUCUUCUUCCAAACACCUGUGCACAUUUUUGAGGGAGUCUUGAGUUGGUUGCCGCUCUUGGGUGAUUUUCUCACAUUCCCUUAAAUCAUUAUACGCUAUUAACAAUGUUGAACGUGCUCUGUGCCGCAAGGCCAUUAAUAUAAUACAACUUUUAACAACGGAUCUCUUGGCUCUC